RNAcentral lists this ribosomal RNA (1178 nucleotides) under Maurya qinlingensis. RNAcentral's name for it is "16S ribosomal RNA". Lineage: Eukaryota; Metazoa; Arthropoda; Insecta; Hemiptera; Membracidae. The record is from RNAcentral.
UUUAUAUAAUUUUAUUUUUAUUUUUGGUUUAUGUUUUAUUUAUAUUUUUUUAGUUUUUAAUAAAAUAAUUUUAUUUUAUUACUGAUGAGGAUUAAUUACAUAAUUUUAAAUGUAAUUAUUUUUGUACCUUUUGUAUCAGGGUUAAUUUAAUUGUUAAUUUAUAUUUAGUUCCCGAAUCAAAUUGAUCUUUUUUAAUAUUAAUUUCUUGUUUUAUAAAGUUUUAUAAUUUUAAUUAAGUAGUUAAAAGUUAAUCGUUUUUUGUUAUAUCUGGUUAAUUAAUAAUAAAUUUAAUUUUAAUUAUUUUUUGUAAUUUAAUAAAUGAGGGAUAAUCUUCAUUUAUAUUUAAAAUUUAAUUUUUAUUGAUUUUUUUAUGAUUUGUAUUUUUUGUUGUUAGUUUGUAAUAAAUUUAAUCUUUUUAUUAUAAUUAUUUUUUAUUUAAUAUAUUAUUAAUUUUUUUUAAUUAAUUUUUAUUUAUAAAUAAUAAUGAUUAAAUUAGUAUAAUUUUUAAUUAAUUUUAAAUGAACUCGGCAAUUUAAAUUUUCAAAUGUUUAACAAAAACAUUUCUUUUAGCAAUUUUUUAAAAGUAAUAUCUGCUCAAUGAUUAAUUUUAAAUAGCUGCAGUAUUUUGACUGUACAAAGGUAGCAUAAUAAUUAGUCUUUUAAUUGAAGUCUGGAAUGAAUGAUAUAAUGAGAAAUUUACUUUAUUAAUUUUAUUAUUAAAAUUUAAUUUUUAAGUGAGAAAGCUUAAUUAUUUUUUUGGGACGAGAAGACCCUAUAGAACUUUAUUUAUUUAUUUAAUAUUAAUUUGUUUAGUUUUAAUUUAUAUAUUUAAUUAUAUAAAUUUAAUUGGGGUGAUUAUUAAAUUUAACUUUAAUUUUUAUUUUCAUUAAUUUAUGAUUUUUUGAUCCUUUUUUAAGAUUAAAAGAUUAAGUUACCUUAGGGAUAACAGCGUAAUUUUAAUGGUAAGUUCUUAUUUAUAUUAAAGUUUGCGACCUCGAUGUUGAAUUAAGAUAAUACCAGGGGGUAGUUUUUUUGGUUUUAAGUCUGUUCGACUUUUAAUUUCUUACAUGAUUUGAGUUCAGACCGGUGUGAGCCAGGUCGGUUUCUAUCUGAUUAUAUAUAAAUUAUUUUAGUACGAAAGGACCAUUUAAUUCAAUUUUAUAUUGUUUAUUUUUAAU